This 935-nucleotide ribosomal RNA is filed under the name uncultured archaeon. Its description in RNAcentral is "bacterial SSU rRNA". It matches the Rfam family "Archaeal small subunit ribosomal RNA", at positions 86 to 980 of the family's 1478-position model. The record is from RNAcentral.
UGGCUCAGUAACACGUGGAGAAUCUAACCCUUGGUGGAGGAUAAUCUCGGGAAACUGAGAAUAAUACUCCAUAAACAUAGGAUGCUGGAAUGCUUCUAUGUUGAAAGGCAACGCCAAAGGAUGACUCUGCGACCUAUCAGGCUGUAGUGAGUGUAAUGGACUCACUAACCUGCAACGGGUACGGGUGUCGGAAGACAUUGCCCGGAGAUGGACUCUGAGACAUGAGUCCAGGUUCUACGGAACGCAGCAGGCGCGAAAACUCCGCAAUGUACGAAAGUACGACGGGGGAAUUCUGAGUGCUUACGCCUUGCGUAGGCUGUUUUCUUGUCUAAAAAACAAGGAGAGUAAGGGCUGGGUAAGACGGGUGCCAUCUCGUGCAAUUCUGCACUUAUUGUGUUCGUUGCACGAAGCACAAGCCGCCGCGGUAAUACCCGCGGCCCGAGUGGUGCUCAUUAUUAUUGAGCCUAAAACGUCCGUAGCCGGUUUAAUAAAUUCUUGGGUAAAUCAUAUCGCUUAACGAUAUGAAUUCUGAGAACACUGCUAAACUCGGGAAUGGGAGAGGCCAGAGGUACUUUCAGGGUAGGGGUAAAAUCCCGUAAUCCUGAGAGGACCACCGGUGGCGAAGGCGUCUGGCUAGAACAUAUUCGACGGUAAGGGACGAAGCCCUGGGGCGCAAACGGGAUUAGAUACCCCGGUAGUCCAGGGUGUAAACGCUGUAGAUUUGGUGUUGGAAAUCCUACGGGGAUUCCCAGUGCCGGAGAGAAGUUGUUAAAUCUACUGCUUGGGGAGUACGGUCGCAAGACUGAAACUUAAAGGAAUUGGCGGGGGAGCACCGCAACGGGUGGAGCGUGCGGGUUUAAUUGGAUUCAACGCCGAGAAACUCACCGGGGGCGACCAUUAUAUGAAGGCCAAGCCAAUGACUUUGCCUAAUUUUU